This 450-nucleotide ribosomal RNA is filed under the name uncultured bacterium. RNAcentral describes it as "bacterial SSU rRNA". It matches the Rfam family "Bacterial small subunit ribosomal RNA", at positions 354 to 796 of the family's 1533-position model. The record is from RNAcentral.
GUGGGGAAUAUUGGACAAUGGGCGAAAGCCUGAUCCAGCCAUGCCGCGUGUGUGAAGAAGGUCUUCGGAUUGUAAAGCACUUUAAGUUGGGAGGAAGGGCUGUAAGCUAAUAUCUUGCAGCUUUGACGUUACCAACAGAAUAAGCACCGGCUAACUCUGUGCCAGCAGCCGCGGUAAUACAGAGGGUGCAAGCGUUAAUCGGAAUUACUGGGCGUAAAGCGCGCGUAGGUGGUUUGAUAAGUUGGAUGUGAAAUCCCCGAGCUCAACUUGGGAACUGCAUCCAAAACUGUCUAACUAGAGUACGGUAGAGGGUGGUGGAAUUUCCUGUGUAGCGGUGAAAUGCGUAGAUAUAGGAAGGAACACCAGUGGCGAAGGCGACCACCUGGACUGAUACUGACACUGAGGUGCGAAAGCGUGGGGAGCAAACAGGAUUAGAUACCCCUGUAGUCC